This 826-nucleotide ribosomal RNA is filed under the name Chaetomium sp. 'rosarootii'. Its description in RNAcentral is "partial large subunit ribosomal RNA". It matches the Rfam family "Eukaryotic large subunit ribosomal RNA", at positions 78 to 937 of the family's 3401-position model. Lineage: Eukaryota; Fungi; Ascomycota; Sordariomycetes; Sordariales; Chaetomiaceae. The record is from RNAcentral.
CCCUAGUAACGGCGAGUGAAGCGGCAACAGCUCAAAUUUGAAAUCUGGCUUCGGCCCGAGUUGUAAUUUGCAGAGGAAGCUUUAGGCGCGGCACUUUCUGAGUCCCCUGGAACGGGGCGCCAUAGAGGGUGAGAGCCCCGUAUAGUUAGAUGCCUAGCCUGUGUAAAGCUCCUUCGACGAGUCGAGUAGUUUGGGAAUGCUGCUCAAAAUGGGAGGUAAAUUUCUUCUAAAGCUAAAUACCGGCCAGAGACCGAUAGCGCACAAGUAGAGUGAUCGAAAGAUGAAAAGCACUUUGAAAAGAGGGUUAAAUAGCACGUGAAAUUGUUGAAAGGGAAGCGCUUGUGACCAGACUUGCGCCGGGCAGAUCAUCCGGUGUUCUCACCGGUGCACUCUGCCCGGCUCAGGCCAGCAUCGGUUCUCGCGGGGGGAUAAAGGCCCUGGGAACGUAGCUCCUCCGGGAGUGUUAUAGCCCGGGGCGUAAUGCCCUCGCGGGGACCGAGGUUCGCGCAUCUGCAAGGAUGCUGGCGUAAUGGUCAUCAGCGACCCGUCUUGAAACACGGACCAAGGAGUCAAGGUUUUGCGCGAGUGUUUGGGUGUAAAACCCGCACGCGUAAUGAAAGUGAACGUAGGUGAGAGCUUCGGCGCAUCAUCGACCGAUCCUGAUGUUUUCGGAUGGAUUUGAGUAGGAGCGUUAAGCCUUGGACCCGAAAGAUGGUGAACUAUGCUUGGAUAGGGUGAAGCCAGAGGAAACUCUGGUGGAGGCUCGCAGCGGUUCUGACGUGCAAAUCGAUCGUCAAAUCUGAGCAUGGGGGCGAAAGACUAAUCG